RNAcentral lists this ribosomal RNA (450 nucleotides) under uncultured bacterium. RNAcentral's name for it is "partial 16S ribosomal RNA". It matches the Rfam family "Bacterial small subunit ribosomal RNA", at positions 338 to 795 of the family's 1533-position model. The record is from RNAcentral.
CCUACGGGUGGCUGCAGUGGGGAAUUUUGGACAAUGGGGGCAACCCUGAUCCAGCCAUGCCGCGUGCGGGAAGAAGGCCUUCGGGUUGUAAACCGCUUUCGGCCGGAACGAAAUCGCCGGGGAGAACAUCCCCGGUGGAUGACGGUACCGGAAGAAGAAGCACCGGCUAACUACGUGCCAGCAGCCGCGGUAAUACGUAGGGUGCUAGCGGGAAUCGGAGUUACUGGACGUGGAGCGUUAAGACAGGGGUGAAAUCCCCGGGCUUAACCUGGGAACUGCGUUUGUGACUGGCGGGCUGGAGUGCGGAAGAGGGAGGUGGAAUUCCACGUGUAGCAGUGAAAUGCGUAGAGAUGUGGAGGAACACCGAUGGCGAAGGCAGCCUCCUGGUCUAGCACUGACGCUCAUGCACGAAAGCGUGGGGAGCAAACAGGAUUAGAUACCCGUGUAGUC